This 464-nucleotide ribosomal RNA is filed under the name Lactococcus lactis subsp. hordniae. RNAcentral describes it as "bacterial SSU rRNA". It matches the Rfam family "Bacterial small subunit ribosomal RNA", at positions 336 to 789 of the family's 1533-position model. Lineage: Bacteria; Bacillati; Bacillota; Bacilli; Lactobacillales; Streptococcaceae. The record is from RNAcentral.
UUCCUACGGGAGGCAGCAGUAGGGAAUCUUCGGCAAUGGACGAAAGUCUGACCGAGCAACGCCGCGUGAGUGAAGAAGGUUUUCGGAUCGUAAAACUCUGUUAGUAGGGAAGAACGACGGUGAGAGUAGAAAGCUCAUUAAGGGCCGGUAAUUCCCCAGAAACGGCGGGUUAAUUACGUCCCGCCACCCCCGUUAUUCCGUGGGUGCAAGCGUUAAUCGGAAUUUAUGGGGGUAAAGCGGAGGUCAGGUGUUUUAUAAGUUCUGGUGUAAAAGGCAGUGGUUCAACCAUUGUAUGCAUUGGAAACUGGUAGACUUGAGUACAGGAGAGGAGAGUGGAAUUCCAUGUGUAGCGGUGAAAUGCGUAGAUAUAGUGGAGGAACACCGAGUGGCGAAAGCGGACUCCCUGGCCUGUAACUGACACUGAGGCGCGAAAGCGUGGGGAGCAAACAGGAUUAGAUACCCUG